GGGUGGUUAGUUCAGUGGUAGAACAUCUCUUUUACACAGAGAAGACCGACGGUUCGAACCCGUCACUACCCAUCA
Molecule: transfer RNA, 75 nt
Filed under: Candidatus Tremblayella phenacoccinincola
Lineage: Bacteria; Pseudomonadati; Pseudomonadota; Betaproteobacteria
Description: Candidatus Tremblaya phenacola tRNA-Val
Rfam family: tRNA
About the family: Transfer RNA (tRNA) molecules are approximately 80 nucleotides in length. Their secondary structure includes four short double-helical elements and three loops (D, anti-codon, and T loops). Further hydrogen bonds mediate the characteristic L-shaped molecular structure. tRNAs have two regions of fundamental functional importance: the anti-codon, which is responsible for specific mRNA codon recognition, and the 3' end, to which the tRNAs corresponding amino acid is attached (by aminoacyl-tRNA synthetases). tRNAs cope with the degeneracy of the genetic code in two manners: having more than one tRNA (with a specific anti-codon) for a particular amino acid; and 'wobble' base-pairing, i.e. permitting non-standard base-pairing at the 3rd anti-codon position.
Source: RNAcentral